GUUUUCAUUAAUCAAGAACGAAAGUUAGGGGAUCGAAGACGAUCAGAUACCGUCGUAGUCUUAACCAUAAACGAUGCCGACCAGCGAUUAGGAGACGUUGAAUACAAAACACCACCAUCGGCGCGGUCGUCCCUGGCUCGUCGUCUCACGACGGGCGGGCGGGGGCGGUUUAGCCCGAUGGCACCGGUGAAUGACUCCCCUAGCAGCUUGUGAGAAAA
RNAcentral lists this ribosomal RNA (218 nucleotides) under Acanthamoeba sp. Its description in RNAcentral is "partial 18S ribosomal RNA". It matches the Rfam family "Eukaryotic small subunit ribosomal RNA", at positions 966 to 1098 of the family's 1831-position model. The record is from RNAcentral. Lineage: Eukaryota; Discosea; Longamoebia; Acanthamoebidae.